UUUUAAGAGGGACUACAGUGCUUAAAGUAUACGCAAGUUGCUUUAACAUAACAUGGAGUGAUUGUUAAUUUAGACUUAUAGACUUGCCUUGAGUCCUUAGUAUUUAAAGAGUGUAGAGUAAGCCCAGAACAAUCAAAAUCAGGAUAUUUUUUUUUUAUUUAAUAGAACGAACAAGACUACAAAGACAUGCACAUCAUGACUUUUAAAGCACCUGUGAGAAAAAGCUAUACAAAUAUUCUAGUUGCUAAUAGGGAUCUUUUUCUUCAAAUAUUUAGCUUUAUAGUUUUCAGUUUAGCUUUAUUAUUCUAAGCAAGUCUUGUUGAUUGUUGUAAUGGUUGACUUUGUUUUUGCUGUUGCUUCAAAGUAGAGAUAACCCACCACCUUCUUUUUAAAAAUAAAGGGUCAUAGCUGAAUUGGCCAGUAAUUUGUUGAGAUUUAGCAGUUGUAUUAUUAUCCUUUAUUGUAUGGAAGUCUGUAAUUUGGUAUAUUUACAUUUUCACAUUUCAUAGGAUUUAUAGGAUAUUUCCACAUAUAUAUGUGAUUGUUACAUAGUAUGUGGGCAUUUUAACACUUCUUGUUAAACCUAUGAGCAACAAUUUGAUGGGUUAUAUAGAUGGUGUGCUUCAAUGGCAAAGUUAUGUCACUUUACAACAAUCCCUCCUUUUCCAGCGCCAGUCAACCAUCUAUAUCUGUUGACCCACUUUACAGUCCAUUUAGUUCCUGAACUUAGUAGAUAUUGUAGAUUGAUUUCUAAUUUGUAUUCUGCCCUGGUAAAAUCUAUGAAACAUGUAGUUUUGUUAGAUGAUAGAUGGUUGAAAUAACAUAUCAAGCAUGACCAUUUCCAUGUCACUUGCUACAAUCUUUCUUUUCUUCUCUUCUGGUAUUUGAACA
RNAcentral lists this long non-coding RNA (891 nucleotides) under Mytilus galloprovincialis (Mediterranean mussel). The record is from RNAcentral. Lineage: Eukaryota; Metazoa; Mollusca; Bivalvia; Mytilida; Mytilidae.